RNAcentral lists this ribosomal RNA (266 nucleotides) under uncultured archaeon. RNAcentral describes it as "partial 16S ribosomal RNA". It matches the Rfam family "Archaeal small subunit ribosomal RNA", at positions 719 to 982 of the family's 1478-position model. The record is from RNAcentral.
AGUCACUGACAUUAGAUACCCCGGGUAGUCCAGGGUGUAAACGCUGCAGACUUGGUGUUGGAAGCCCUUUGGGGGCAUUCAGUGCCGGAGAGAAGUUGUUAAGUCUGCUACUUGGGGAGUACGUCCGCAAGGAUGAAACUUAAAGGAAUUGGCGGGGGAGCACCACAACGGGAGGAGCGUGCGGUUUAAUUGGAUUCAACACCGUAUAACUCACCAGGGAAGACUGUUACAUGAAGGCCGAGAUGAAGACUCUGCUAGAUUUUCAG